GGUCCAAUAGUGUAGAGGUUAUCACACGGGAUUCUGAUGGGUAUAUCACAUCUUGCAUUUCCCGUGACCCAGGUUCGAGUCCUGGUUGGACCU
This 93-nucleotide transfer RNA is filed under the name Lentinula lateritia. RNAcentral describes it as "tRNA-Gln". It matches the Rfam family "tRNA". Rfam says of the family: Transfer RNA (tRNA) molecules are approximately 80 nucleotides in length. Their secondary structure includes four short double-helical elements and three loops (D, anti-codon, and T loops). The record is from RNAcentral. Lineage: Eukaryota; Fungi; Basidiomycota; Agaricomycetes; Agaricales; Omphalotaceae.